Molecule: long non-coding RNA, 745 nt
Organism: Pleuronectes platessa (European plaice)
Lineage: Eukaryota; Metazoa; Chordata; Actinopteri; Pleuronectiformes; Pleuronectidae
Exons: 5
Source: RefSeq, a predicted model, not a curated record
UCCAAUCACAGCCUCGUGAAUACAGAGUCUGUCUGCCACAGAUAUGCGAGGCUCCUGUUGUUUGUUCCGUACAAGUGACUCUGUUUUCGGUUUUAAUAACUUGCUGAAGUCGACACGACGCUGUUUCCCUGGAGGAGAAGAUGAGUGCGUGGGAAAGCAAAGCUGAGGGCCCGGUGUGGAGGAGUCGAAGCGGAGAAGACGGACGCACAGUCCCUGAACAAAGGAAACUCUCCCUCUUCACAGCUGUGAUGAAAAUGGCCGGCGGAGCGAGGUUUUGUUUUCACAGCCGGAUUCCUGCACACAAUGACGCAGUCACUGCACAUUACGCCGAGACUCGCUGAAAGUCCGCAUUUGCAGUACCUGCCUGUACUAUGACGUCCUAAGACCCACUAUGAGCCGGUAUGAAGGAGCUUCCAGUACAACAAACCGGACCUUGCCUCAGCAUUGAGGAGUUCAGGAGACGGCAGAGAAAAAAGAGGCUGAUUGAAGCGGGACAGAUGACAUCGAUCCAUCCUUCCACAGCCAGGACUUCACCGACCUGUGUGCCACACUUCAAAUAAGACUAGAAGCUACACAGGAUCUCACAGCUACACACCACAGACGUCAGAUUCGGACAGAGUCCCACAAAGAACAUAUGACCCAGAGGCUGCAAAGAGACAUUUCAAGCUUCACCUGAUUAGCUUUUCACUGGCUAGGCCAGUUGUGUUUGUACAAUAUUUGUGCUGUAUAUAAAUAAAGCUUUGAC